CUUAAUGAAUUUCUGUAACUUAGAAAUAAAUUGCAGUCUAAAUUUAAACAAAUGCUUCUUCAAUGCCUGGCCUUGCAGACCUUCCUAAAUGUAGGUGGAACUUGCUGUCUUCUGUUUGCCAAAGGUAAUGACACCUUGCUUUUUCAUCCCCUGGAGACUUUCACCCCUGCUUUAUCUUCAGCGCUUCAGUUCUGCAUCUCCCAAAUCACAGCUAGGCACCGCUAUUUGUUUGGCUUCCUGCUGACACUGAAGUUGUCUCCUUGUACUAGUAAGCACGCUCGUGUUUGCAGAGUUGGGUUGUUUGGAUGCUUUUCCUCACUAACAGUUUUCUUUUAAACUAGAAAUAUCUUAAACCUGAAUUAACACAGCCUAUUGGCUCUCAAGUACAGUUUGCUAAGUUGACAGUUUCAACAAAUUUUCAACAAAUUCUUGCUUUCUAGGUUUGUAGCUGCCACUGAGAAGGCUGGGGAUGAGCCAAGCCAGGCCUGGAAGGAAAACCUUUUACCACAGUCAGUAUGUUGGGUAACUAUGCUCUGAGGAUCAGGGGAAUUAAUUGUGUAAUUGCCAGGAUUAGUGAGGUAAGUUGAUGAUAAUGGACUUGUUAAGAGGACAGUUUGUAUCAGGUUAGAUAAAUUACCUCUUGGUGGUAGGAAGCAGUCCUUGUUCUGUCUGAGGAGUGGAGCCCACCCUCAACUCCCCCAGGUCUUCCUGUAGUUGUCAGUACAAUACAGAGAUAGUUGUGUAAGAAAUAAUUCAGAAGUUACGGAGCUACACCUGCAUAUUGCUCUAUAAUAACAGUUGUAGAAGAAGCAGAAAAAGAACAAAUAAUUUUUUUUCAACCCUCUGCUGUUCUCGGUGUAUAUUAUUUAAAAUUUUAUUUAUAAGGGGUCUUUGUGGAAAAAGUAUUUUUAUGCUCUUGGCGAUGGCUCUGCUAUAAUAGCAGUGUGACAUAGUCCGCACGGGCUGCUGCUUAAUUAUUUUUCCUGGUGGCUCAAACUUUAUUUUACAUGCUUUGCAUUUAAUUUUUCUUCAUUUUUUUUUUCAUUUUCUUUUGAUUUUUCCUCUCUUUUCUCAGAAAAAGCUUUUCCAUUUUACAGCAGCAGCCAUCUGACAAAACAAAGCGCAUGGUGCAUCAAAGAUGUAGGUUGUCCCUUCAGUUUUAAAAAUCAAGGGGAAAGCAGAGUUCUUUCAUUUCUUCCUUCUCUUCCUUGUCUGCUUAGCUGAGAUGAGAUCAAACAAUCCUGUUUUAUGAGUGAUAGAACAAGCUACAUGCCUGUCUCGCAGCAUCCCAGCUGUAGAGACUGAAUCAACUGUUUUGGAGGCUAUUUAAUUAUGUCAGCACUCAGCACAUUCAAAAAUGCUCCAGAUGUGCUCUUGCAAUGAGAUUGCUUGCAGAAUCAGCUUUAAAUUAUCGUUCUUUCUGGAAGGCAAAUGCUUCUAGCGGUAUAACUCCCAUUAAUGAAAAUGAAAAAUAUUUUCAUAAGCCAGGGAUGAAAUAGUGGAUUUCAAAUACUGGUUGAAUGACCAUAUUUUUAAAAAAAAAAUUUCAUCCAAUAGGAUGUUCACACCUAGCACACAUGUACAUCUGCCAUUACCGUCAGUAUAAGAUCCAAAAAGUAUGACAAAUACAGCACCUCAAAAUGUCCUGGAGUUUGUAUGUGAAGCACAUUUACUUAAAAACAGAAUUACACUUGCCAAGGCUUGAGCAUCUCAUAAAGGUGAAGUAUAUACAGGGUUUUUUAUUAAUCUAAGCUAUGAUCUGAGUAGUAAAUUCAGGAAAACAGGCUUUUUGGGGUAGGGUGAAAUUUAGCUUUUGAAUUAUCUUGCUUUUUAGUGCCUUUCACCAACUUUGUAUUUUGAGCCAGGCCCUGCAGUGUUAGUUUUGUUGGUAGAAAAUUGCUGCCUUGUGUCUUGGUGCAGCUGAGGAUGUUCCUUGCUCUGACUUUUGUGUCUGCUAAUGGGGCAGCUGAUCUCUUCAUUUGCUGCAGCAGCUUUCAAGCAAACUGACAAGCAAAGACUGUUUUGGGGCUAGAAAUUAAAGGUCAUGAUGGUCAUCUCUAUCAUCACCUUUCAUAGUAAGUACUGAAAGCUGGAUCUUGAACUUUAAGCACUGCCAGGGAUCAGGCUGCCCAUUGCUUGACAUCUUGAGAUGCAUAGUCCUGUCUUCAUACAGGAGCUUAAAGCUUGGGGAAUGUGGAGUAUGUUGUUGCUAAAUAAAAUUGUUAUUAUUAAAGGCAAACAAUAAAGGCAAUCAUACCUGUUUGGGGCACUGCACAAAUGCAAAAUUUAAUAUUUAGGAUCUUUCCUAGUCCCUGUGCUCAUGAAGAUUCUCCAGACACCCUGUGAAUGGCCCCCCUACGCCUUUCCUAGUCUGACCAACUUCUUCUGGUGUCUGACCAACUUCUUCUGGUCCAAGAAGCUCACUGGAGAGAGGCUGCUGGUGCCUGUCUCCUGGGAGCUGGGAAGGGACUGACUACCAGCUAUAGUAAUUGGUAGCUGUAUUGAGAUGAAUAUGAGUAUUGUGACUAUUGCAAUUGCAUGAAAACUCUGCAGAAAAGUGCCUCUCCAAUCCCCUGGGCGAUCUACAGUUGCUUCUGGUUCAGUCCCUCUAAGUGACUGAGCAGGUUGGAGCUGGCUCUGGGUGUCCACCACAGCUCAUGCACCCACCCCGAAAUAUCCCACAGCCAUCAAGCAGCUCAUUGCUGUUGGAAGCAGAAAGCAUGUCUGCUUCAGUGGUUCUUGGGAAGAUGAGCUGCUGGGACGUAAUGCACAAUGUCCUUUGGGAAUGAAAAAUUGAAGCAUUUGGGGGAAAAAUCAAGAUGAAAUAUUUCAACAUCUUCCAUUUCUUCAGUACAACAGAUCCCAUUUCCAAUUCUAGCCAGGUACUUCAUGAGCUUCAUUGACUCCCAAAGUGCAUGUAUUUUUCUGUGAAAUGAUAUUUGAAGAAUGCCUUAGCCCAGCUCUGUGAUUCAGGGAUGUUUUCUCUCCCUCCUGCCCACCCUGUUCCUGCCCCAAGCAAGGCAGAGCUGCUGGCAGAGGUGAGCGAGGCUGGAGCACAGCAGUGUCUGGGGCUACUGAGCACAAACUCCAUGGUGCUUUAUUCCUUUUCUGCAUCUCUCGCUCCCUGCUGGAUUGCCACCCUUCUGACUCAAACCUUACUGAAAAUUUAUUCACCUACAGAGAUGCUGAAUUUGUCUAUUUUUUUCCAUGAAAAUGGGAAAAAUUAGGGUUUAUGAAAAAAUGCAUUAUCUGUAUUUAGCCACCAUAACAUGGUUAUUUCAUUCUUCUUCACUAUUUAAACAAAAUUCCCAAUGUGGCUGCUAUUAGGGAUGGAGGGCUGUAGGAGAAACAUGUUUUGCUCUGCCCAUUGUUCAUUUUGCCCAUGUAGUUGCAGGCAGGCAUUGACCCAAUACUCUCAGCCUCCCUUCCUCUUUCCCCUAUUCCUAAAUUCUCCAGUCUCACAACAGAAAUAAUCUACAAAAGCUCCCCUGAAAGGAGUUCUAGUUAUACUUUAGGCAUGUUUUUCACUGUUUUGUUUCACUCCAAUCCUUCAUGAGCUCUUACCCUGUUCUCCUGCAGGCUCCAGUGGAAACCAAAUCCAUGGGAGCACUGGCAGUGUGCUGCACUGGGGGGCUUGUGGUAACGGGUUACAACUGCUGGUGUAAAUAUAUCACGUUAUCAUUUUUUUGUCAUUGUUUGGGGCUAGAUAAAAAAGAGGAAGGGCAGUUUCCUUUCUGAAGUUGGCUUGAAUGCCAGAUGGGUUUGCAAAACCAAUAAAUACAAUGUUUUCAUCAGCUGGCUUCCCAAUGAGCAUGCCAAGAGGUGACAGCUUCUCCUGGAGCAGGAGUGAGUAGUGGGGCUCAGGUAAGGCUAAUAUUUUUCAAGCAGUGAAAAUAAGGGUAAGGCUAAUAUGUUUUCAAGCAACGCAGUCCUAACUGCUCAAAAGUUCUGUGACAGUGACACCUGCAAGUGCUAUCUUGUGGAUGUCCUCCCCCAAAAAAAGGAAAACUGGGAGAUUUACAGAGACCUAAAUGGGAGAUGAACACCCUGUUGCUGUCACCUUUCAGUAGUAGAUAGUGAUUUGGUUUUUGUGUGUGUCAGUCUUCCCAUAGAAAACCACUGGAAAAAAUGAGUUCCACUUAUUAUUAUUAUUUAAAUAUUAUUAUUAUUAUUAUUAUUAUUUAAAUAUUUAAAUAUUAUUAUUAUUAUUUAAAUAUUAUAUAUUAAUAAUAAUUUUAAAAUAUGUGUAAAUAGUGAAUUACUUUAUGCAGUAUCUUUGAGAUUAUAAAAGUGCAGUAGCUAAACAGGGUGACCCAAUCUGUGUGUCACCAUUUCUAGGAAGACCUAAAAGCUUGCUAGGCUAUUGAUGGGAUAAAAAACUCUGUUUAUGAUAUGUUGCAGUGCUGAUAGCUGUAUAGAUUGAGCUUAAUAUGCCUGAAUUCUUAGGUGGGACAUGGAGUUCUUUGAAAAGACAAAAGGCUGACAGCUUUUCCCCACUUGCAUAGUCACUGUCUAUAGGCUAAACUUGUCUCCAGGCUUCUCUCUUGUUCUGGCAGGUAUAUAUGUAGUCCCAUGUUUUGAACACAAUUGUUCGUCUUCUGUGGAAUAUGAAUUUAGGAAGAGAUCUCCAAGUCCCUAGAGUCUCAGGUAGAAAUCAGACCACAUGAAAUAUAAACAGCUGAGAAUUUACUCUCUGUGGCUGAAAAUUCAAGCCUGUCAUUUCUGUGAAGACUUCUAAUUUGUGUGUGUGAUUAAAGAUGCUCAGCCAGCCCUUCUGAAGGCGCUUAAACUAAUAAACUCUGUUUCUUACUCAAAGCACAAAACUGACAACAUCAAUUUUGAAGAGCCAGGGAAGGAGUAAGUUUGAGUAUUGCUAGGAAAAUAUUCUUCGGUGAUGAAAUCUUGUAUGCCAAGUUUUAGCUUAAAGCAAAUGCUAAGGACAUAGAUGACCCUGUAGAAAAUGUUCCUUAAAACGCCAGUGUUGACAAACUGACUUUCAAAAGUACUUAGGAUUGGCCCUGGGAGUUUAACCAUAAUCUUCAGUGGGAAUAGAUUCAGAUCAGUGCAGAGAGCCUACGUGGAGCCCAAUUGACUUCAGUGGUUACUGCACAGGAAGAAUUGCAGUUUAGACAGAUAAUAAACUGUCUGCAAUGGGGACUGUUACAGUAAUGUGUUGCCUGUAGAUGUUUCUCAGAUCUUUUUGGCACAAAAGACAAGUAUUUCACAUAAGAGCAUAAAAUAAGCUCUAAUUGAGAGUGCUUUCUAAAAAUGUGAUAUGUAUAAUAAAUGAUUACUGAAAGAAUAAAGAUGUUUAAAAUUAUUCAAAGCAACUUUGCUUUAGAGAGAUUUCAGUGUGAAUUGAUGUUAUGAAAUAAGUGAUAUAAAAUCUGCUGGAGAUAGAUUGUAGUAAGUUACGGCAUAACACUUUCUGAUUCUUUAAGUACUAUAAAAGUGUCCUAAGUAUAAAUAGGCUUACAAUUUCUCUGGAUCAUUCUUGAUGCUUGAAUAAUCUGUUGUAGCAGAGCCUCUGCCAGGCACAAACACACAUAGCUCCCAUGGAUUUUCUUCUGCAUCUAGCAGUGGCCAUGCUUUUUUUGGAUUGUUUUCCUUCCUGAAAAAUGAAAUCUAAUUAUGUAAAUACAAGCUAUACUUGUAUAUCAUGGUAGCAGGAAUCUUCACUUAUUUCAGAAACUCCUCGUGUUCUAAUUGUAUAAAAAGAAAUGAAAUAUCCCUAAGGGGAACAAGGCAAGGAAAGGAAAACUUUGGUUAUCACAGUUUUACAAAUACUCAUCUGAUGAAGGCAGCUAAGUCAUAGACUGAAGGGACGUCCAAGUCUAUGGCAAAAUGGGGAAAUUAAACUGUCUCCUACAUUGAAGUCUUUUAUAACAUGGCCUUUACUUUUACCCAAACAAUGUUAAAAACAGAAAAACGAUAAUGUAAUGUUAGAGGCAGAAAUGCCACAUGCCAUUUGGAAUGCUAAUUACUGUAAAAAGCGAUCGUAUCCACAUUUAUCUAUAGGACUUGGGAAAACUGACUGGCACCUCCCACGAAUUGCUGCUCAAACACGCUUGAGUCGCUCAGUUAGCAAGUCAGCAGCUUUCCCAUCAGCAUGGCACAUAUUUAAUAAGUCAGAGUUUCCCCAGACAAAGCAACUUCUCAUGGAAACUUUCUGGAAUCAGACAUCUUGCUUAAACACUCCUCCUUGAGUCUCUGUAUCCUACCAGGGACUGAAGUCAUGGUGAAGUUAGCUUAACAAAAGGAGAAUGAGGAUCCAUCAGUAAGAUAAAGCAAAACCAAUGCUGAUUAUUAUAUUGGUUCAGCCCUACAGGCCAUGUUUUUCCAACCUUGCUUCCUGCACAGAGUUCGUGGGGAUGGACACACAUUUGCCCCUAACACCCAGGCGCAGUGGGAUCUUGUACCAUGGGAUCAUUAAGACAAUAAUUCUUCUUCCCAAGAUUUCAGUAAUAUAGAGAUUGGUUUACACGUAGGUGUAUAUUUUUGUUACUAUUAAUACUUUUAAUACUAUUAAUACCACACUGGCCCAAUAAACAAACAAAGCAAAGUAUAACUCAAAUGAAACCACUAUUUAAUAUCUUUGUAGAGGACACAAAGGAAGGUUAGGUGUCAGGGAAGGUAAGAACGUAAGUGCUAAUCUCCAGCUUCAAAGACAGCAUUAGUAAUGUUGCAGGGACAGUAAUUACAUGGAAAAAAAUUAAAACACUAAAAUUGCACUUGACAGAAUACCUUUAAACUAAUAUAGUGUUUGAGUCCACUAAUGGUUUCUGGCUCCAAUAAGUUUCCACAAUUUUCUCUUUAUUUAAGUCUUAAACUCUCCAAAUUAAAUGCAAUUGGAAAAUCGGUUUUCUUGUUUUACUUUAUGCUCUUGCUAAAUCAGCAUCAUUAUAUGAUCUUGUUUUCCAGUUUCAAACUUUUCACUCUUUUUCAUUGAUGCAAAGUUUUGUUAGAACAGAACUGAAAACAUUCUUUCUCUAUUAAAGUGAUUUUUAAUUUCAAUUUUGUCCUUUUCAUAUGUCCCAUCUCCUUUGCCCUUCCAGUAUUUUUAUGGUCCAUGACCAAAUUAUGUCUGGGGAUAGCCCUUGGCAUCCUGGUUUGGGCCAGGAUCACAAGGCCACUGGAAAUCAGUGGAAAAUGUUUUCCAGUGCUUCAGACACACACCUACAGAAUAAAGCAGAAAUGGCAGAAGAAAGGAACCUAUCAUCUGUAAUGGUCACUGCCUCAGGUUCUUAUAGCCCUUUGUAGUCUCCUUGCUGGCCAGAUUGCACCCAUCUGCUGUGGUGACUCAUCGAGGAAAAUGUGGGGGAAAGCAAUAAAAGAAUUUUUGAGUGCGGUGACUGUCUCCCAUUUAGUUCCAGUUUUCUGGUGAUGAUGAAUAUCUUGGCUAGAGGUACUUUGAUUAUCUUCAUAUUCCAAGUGAUUUUGUGUUACUUCAAGCGAAAGCCACAAAAGGAGGAAACCUGUGCAUCAAGCACCUUCCAGCUGUGUCCAAGGCACCAGGAAGGUGAAGUUGCAUCUUAUUUUUUUUUUUCCUGGUGCUCACUGAAUAUUCUUUAAAAUUUUAAAAUAGUUUUUUUUUGUGCUGAGACUUGAAAUCUUGGGCAUAGGUACCAGGGGAAAUUCAUGUUCUGCUGGAGCUCAUCUCAGGCUGAGGCUGUUUUGCGUCUGGUAUAUCUGUACAGCCCUUUGUCUUGAAAUUAUGUUUGCUUUUGAGAUAUAUAUACACCAUACGUAUAUAGAUACUAGUAGUUAAUAAGUAAAGGAAAGCAGUAUGUCAGUAGAGGAUUGCUCUUCUGGCUCUCAGUUAAUCCCUUGUCAGCUCAGAAUAACAGCACUUUAACCUACCAGAGCUGCUUUGAGUUUCAUCCUGGGUUAGAAUUUUUAAUCCGGACCAUGAUAUGAACGGAGAGUACUAUUGAUCCAAGGUAAGUGCUUGUGUAUGGAUAGAUAGGAAAAAUCUGUUUAUUUGUUUACGCUACCAGCUGUAAUCAAACGGUACAGGAAAAGCACAAGACCAUUUUUCUAUCAUGAAAUGGCAUUCUGGAUGCAAAUACUGGUCUGAAACCUGCCAGGGUUUUUAGAUCCUCACUUAGUGUUUGCUCAGCAAGCGUCAAAGUUUGCCACUGCAAAAUUUUGCUCUUGCUUUGCAGUCUGAGAAUAAACAGUUUUGCUCAGCUCUGUUAGCAGCCCUUAGCCUCUAAAGGUUAUGAUCAAGCAGAUCUGCUAGAGAAAAGCCACAUUUAAUUGGGAUUCUUAUCUCCUGGGAAUUCUCCCUCGGCUCUGGAGGGGAAAUCUCUCUGCCUUCGCAGUGUAACACUUUUGCUUCAGCACUAGGCAAUGCAUAUUUCAUUGAGCCAUGGGGAGACUCACCGCUGACACCAAAGAGGGCAGCUGGAGCUGCAUGAGGACUUCAGAAGGGCUUCCUGGGAAAGCCCUGACUGCAGGAAUCCUUCCAGAGCUGCUGAAAGAAGAGAAGAUGUGCUCUGUAUAAUUGAGGCAGUUUUCUUCCUCCAGCUGGUAGGAUGAGAUGUAAUGUUCACACAACCGGUGCAGGGAGAAGCAGAGAUGCCUCCGUGGCAGUUUUCCUAGCUGACCUUUUGCUUUACCAGUGAUUUUGCUGAUUCUUUUCCUUCCCUCCCCUGUGCCCCCCCGAAAAAGCUGUGCAACUCACUGCAGCAGACGGAAAAAUUUUGCAUUUCCUAUUUUCUUCCAAGCCAGACUAAGAGCUCUAUGUACUCCUCAUGAGGCAUUUUGCUAAUCGAUACAGAUCCACAUCACCUUGUCACAUUCAGCAAAUGUGAGAGGCUGCCCAAGAGCUGCACCCUUCUCCCACAUGUGGACGUGCCACAGCAAUGUGCAUUAAAAUGCUGUUGUGGUUGUGGGCAGUAUUUUUUGGAAACUGAGCCUCGUGAACGAAGGAGCAGUGGUAAUGAAGUGAUAUACUGUUGGUCUUGGGGCUAGUGUAGUUAAGGAGAAGCUAUAGCUCUUCCUAACAAGGGAAAAAGCAAUUUCUUAGAGUUGAACUUUGCAAUAAUGAAAUGUGAAACUCGGUGUACGUAUCACUGCUGUAGCUAAGGGCCAUCGGCUGCUGAUGGAUCAAAAUGUCCUCAGUCUCCAAAGAAAUUCUCAGAAAGGCCAAGAACAGUUUCGUAGUUUUAGAGGCUGUGGAACAUCUCUGAGCUGCUCAAAACUAGUUGCAAUACCUCAAGCAAUAACCCCACUUGUUUUGUUUUGUUUUCAGAAAAAGCAGAAAGAAUCUAACACAGAAAGUAGAGUAGUAGAAAAAAAACAGUGUAGACUUGAAUUAAAUUCCAUAUUUUUGGGAACAGCAUCAGAAAAUGUGUAUAACUCAGUAAACAUCAUGUAUACAUCUAGCUUAAAAGAAGGAUUUUGCAGAGCAUUUUGAGCAAAACAUAUAUUAAAGUAUCACCAUUUCUGAAUAUUCUUUUUUACAUUAAUGUUAUAGGCUCAGUAGUACUUAAGUAUGAUUAUUAUUUUUAUUGUUUUUGUAUAGUCUUUCUAAUAUGUCUGGUAAGAAAGAUAUAGAAGAAUAAUUAGAGAUAAGCCACUUUUCAAUUAACUGCUACCUGCUGCUACCCGUUGGUGGACAUAAAUUGCUAGCAGAUAAUUUUAUCCUUGUAUUACUUGAGAACCUUUGGACAUCAUGUGCUUGACCUAAAUUUUUAAUGAUAUUAUGAAGCCUUAGUUAAAUAUAAAAAUGAUGAUUUUGGAGCACAGUUCUUUAAUAAAGUUCCUUGGGCUGUAUUUUUCUUGUAUUCAGCUCAGCAUGUGAAUGUUUUUGUGUCCUUUUGCUUUAGCUACAACAAUGUGGUUUCUAAACCUUAACAUGGACUGACUGACAUAACCCAUUAGAGGCUACAUUGGAGAAAAGGCUGGUGAGAUCUGUUCAAAGGAAAUUCUAACUGAGUUUUUGACAAAAAGUAACAGUGCUUAGUCAUGAAUCUAUGGAUGAAUACAAUCCAAGUUUUGGUUCAGAUAUGUUAUUUCCUGAGCCAUAAUGAUGCUGAAAUGUAGGAUGUGUAGUGCUACUAGAAAAAAAAGGAUAGAUUUCAAAUUGUUCUUUUGAAAUAAUUGUGAUUUUUUUCCUCACAUUUCAGCCUAUUCCAAGUAAUGUAAGUGAAUAUAGAAAGAGUUUUCUACUCUUAAAGAUUACCAAGUUUUCUACUCUGUAAAGUGUUCUAUGAAGAAAUAGAAUAUAAUCUUCAGUAGAUAAAAACUAAUUAGGAGGCUUGUGUACUUAAAUGUAGAAUUAGUUCUCUCUAUGCUUAGGAGUGAAGCUUAUACCUUAUUACUCCCACAAGAAGAAAAUAAAAAUACAUCUUUUCAUACAUACCAAAAAUCCAACAAAAAUGAGAGUUUCUUCUAUACAAAAGCUAACCUACUGUGUCUUCCAUCCACAGAUACAACAAAUGACAUCAGUAAGUGAAUAUUUGCAUAGCACCAAGUGUGACAUAUAUGUAGUAUGUAGUCAGCACAAGUUUUACUUAAUCUGUUUUCUACCAUCAUUCCAUUCUAUACUUCCCUCACCAGGUUUAUGUUACAAUGAUGAUUGAAAUAUUCACUAACUUUUUUUUUUUUUUUUUGAUGGGGGAUGUUAAACAGAAUUCUCUUUGGUAUGAGAUGCGCAGUGUUACAGUACUUUAAGAUGAUAUCAUCGCAGACUUAAUCAAAAGUGCACCACUCCACUUUAGUAAUCAUUUUGUUUUCCUAAUCCCAAAUGUUAAAACACAUGUAAGAUACCUCUUGUAUCACCAGGCUUAUUUAAAAAUCAGGGGAUAUAUAUUAAUGUUAGACAUUAAAUUAGCCAUGAGAUUUUAGCCUUCAGGGUUUGGAUUUUCAGACAUUCCCUGCACCCUGUGGGCUGGACGUGCUGCCUUUGUUUAAGUAUGAGCUAAGUCUCUUCCAUGAUGAUGUGACUCCUCCAGGGGAUGUUUGAGCAAAACACCAUAUUGUGUGAGCGGCAAUAAUGCUGGCAAUAUAGAUAAUGCUGGAAAAAAAAAAAGACAAGACAGUGUGUUACGGGUGUAUCUGACCCAUUGAGACUAAAGGGGUACAAAUGAAGGCUGUUUGGAGAUGGGAUAAAAAUUGCAGGUGGCAGGCAGUAGGCAGCACAUGGGAUCAGCCUGUGAAUGUCAGCAUUUGCAGGUUGCCCCCCAAAAUACGCUGUGAAAAACAAAAGGAAAUUUAAUGAAAACAAAACCCAUCCCUCCCCCAGUUUUCAGAUGAAGAGAACUGAGGCCUGGAAGAGCAAAAUAUGUUUCUCUCUUUGCACUUGAAAUAGCACAUCACUGGGGAGUGCCUUGAUGGAGGUGGCAGUGUCCAGGAGCAGGUGGGCUGGAGCUGGAGCACAUCAGUGAAUGUUUCCACAGGGUAACAGAUCAGGAUUUGUCCAACUGUGUCUAAAUAUCACGUCCUUCUGAGCCAUAUGGAAAUGCUCAGGGGGAAGAAUAUUAUCUGGUCUUUGUCAUAAAGGCUGCUAAACCUUCUUCCCAACUGUUCCUUGAUAUUGAUUAUCUCAGUGCAAAGAAAAUGUAGCAGGGAAUUAUGAAGUGCUGUCUGAAGAAAAGAAAACCUAGAACUAGGUUUCUAGGGGUUACCUUUGAUCUAAAGUUUUAAACUUUAAUUUGGUAUUAAAAAGAACUUAGUUGAUCUACCCAAUUUCAUUUAAAAUACAAUGGCAAUAAUUUCUUUGAAUUAUAGAAGUAAAACAAAAACAAACAAAGACACUUCUGAAGCUAGUAAACUCCUUUAACUUAAAGCAUCCACAAAUUUCUUUAAUAUUUCUUUACAACUGCUUUCAGACUGAGAAUCUGUUAUAUGGCUCAGCUGCAGGAAAAUUUUAUGGCUGAGUUAUAACCCCCUCUCCCUAAAAAUAGGCAGCAUAUAAAUGAUGGGACUGCAAUAGGCGAGGAAGGAAGUGAUUACAGGACCCAGAUAAAAGAAAUUCAUCAGAGCCAAGGUCAAGGGAAGGAAGAACUUUGGAAAUGUGCUGAAAGUAAAGGUAAAUCCACUCAUGAAAGUGUCAUUAUCCUGCAGGCUGAUAUCAGAUAGUGAUAUGAGUAUCGGCCUCUAUUUUCUUUUCCUCCAUGUAUGGAUUUCUGAAGUCCAGUUCCAAUUAAGAUACAAGUCCAUGGAGUUUGAUGGUAAGUGAAAAAUAAAAAUGCUGUUGACUGUUUUAAUAAUAAACACCAGAUAUGCCUUUGCAAAUUUUCAAUUCAGAUACACUUUAGGUAGUAGCUGGCACUCAAAAGCUUUCUUGCUCAUGGUAAUCUUACCUAAAUCCCUAAUAACUAUGAAUUAGGCUUUAACUUUGUGACAGCCACCUCUCAGAAAAGAAUGAAAACACUUCUGUUUCAAUCCACAGAAACAUCCUGUUAUGGUAUUUCAGUUCAUCCUCUUUUAAUCACCACAAGAACCUGAAAGUGCAAAGGCGCAUGAAAAAUAAAAAUAAGCACUUUACCAGGCAUUUCUGAACUUUAAAAAACAAGGUUUAGUUUGGUUCAAGUCAGGCUUGACAGAUGAGCAGUAGUGUUUAUAGGUUCUUAGUCUUCCACGCAGGUUGUCCUAUCCAAAUUUUAUGAUGGCAAAAGUUGUCCGAUUAAAUCGCCCAUUUUUCCAUUUGCGCUUUGAUAAAUCACUUUUAUGCAGAUAGUAAAAAACACAGAAAACUUGGCAGAUCCUGAUCUGGCCUGUUAGCCGUGUACUACCUCUCUGCAGGGUGCUGAAAACAGAAUUAUACACAGGGACUGUCCCCUUUUUUCCAGCAGGAUGAGUGCAGGUCUGAAGCACAGGCUGGUGACCGAGGACAGGGCUGGCUUGGAGCAGAGUCCCCAGCAGGACCUGUCCAAGGGCAGCAAAGUUUUCAGCUUGCACCUCUUCUUCUUUCUGAAGUUUUAAGAUUUCUGAAAUGAAUUUUUGCUGUGUGAGGUAAAAGAGGCCUCAGGCAACUUCAUCUUGCACAACCAGCCUUUGCCGACCUUGGCAGAAACACAAAGGUCGCGUUUAACUUUUCACACAGGCGAACUAUUGAACAAUGGCUGCUAUGUAUUAGGAAUAACAAGGAUUUUCUUUAGCAUUUCUUGUGCAGGUUUCUUUUCAUCCAUUCUUUCCUUCAGAGAAUACCCUGAUUUCCCGUGAAAUGGGUUCCCUUUGCAAGGCUGACUCUAGCUGCUGAUUCCUGUCCACCAUCCGUCUUAAUGCUCCAGUGGAGAGAGCAGCUGGUAAUUUGGAGUGAAAAUGUGAUUUUUGCUUAAAAAUAGCAUAAAAAAGACUCAACAAUGGCUAAUAGGAAAAUGUAUCAGAGAAUGACGCUUAUUACAUUGUUCCUGAGCUUCAGUAAUGCGUUAGGAUUUUCUCUCAUUAGAGUGUUAAAGCACGUGAAAAUCCAAACUCAGUGAACAGAAAGAACAAAAACAACACUGAAGUUGUCUCUUCAGGUAAGGCAAAUUCUGGUUUUCUUGUUUAAAGUCUCUGCUACCUACAACACUAACUGGACCAGAAGGCAGGCCUGGUGAAAGGGUGAUGGCAACUGGAUUUGUCCCUGCCUGCCUGAUACACACAGCUCCCCACAGGCACGGUGCCACAGCCCUAGUUUCUGACCCAUCUGGGAUUCAUCAUGGGUCACAACUACCACAGCACAGCUGGAAAACAUGGAAAUAUGCUGGGCUCUGGGGCCAAACAGUAAGUUUCAAGGAGAAACCUCGUAGUCCUUCCCUGACCUGGGAGGCGAUGUCCUGUGAACAAGGCCUGUAACAGAGCCAUGGGGUUUUGCAAAUGAAAGAAAUAGCUGUGUGAAAAGGAAACAAUAUGCCAUAUAAAUGAAAAAAAAAAAUAGGGACCAUUAAAUUUUGUUGGGAGAAAGAGAAAAAAAUCUUAAUUUCCAGCAACAAGUUGCUGCCAUUGUUAUGUGCUGCCAAAUAUUUGUGCUAUUGUACCUUUAGCCUGUAUCUGCACAGUGGAUCUGUGGGUGUGUAUGGGGAACCAUAGCAUGUUGCUUUCCCUUUUGGGGUGUCUUGUGGGCUACAUGAAAUGGAUGGAGACUCCUAAAGAAUAUUAUGGUUGUGCAGGAACACUUUAAUUUUCUUUUAUUUUCAACUAGACAGAUAAAGUCUUCUGGUUAUUUUUCCCUUUGUUUACAACAGAAACCAUAUGGUUAUGAACCAGAGUUCAUUACUGUCAAGAAGCUUGUGGAAGCCUAGAAGAAGGAGUUAUUAACUUUUUAAACAGCAUUUUUUUUAACGCAGAAUAAAAGCUGAAAUGGACUGGCAGCUAGGUGCUGAGCCACAGAUAUGUACAGCUCUUCCUGGCCCCACCGACCUGCCCAGUGCACAGGAAUUAAGGAGAAAAACAGGUACAAGGACUCUGCACGAGAGGGGCAGGGAGACACUGGGGUCCAUGGGGCAGAAAAAGGCAUUGCAGGCAGCGGGUGAAGAGCUGCCAGCAGGGCCGCGUGUGGCUCCUGAUGCUGCUUCUUGUGUGUCCAGGCUUGGUUCUGCAGAGGCGACAUCAUCAGAUGUGCAGAUCUGUGCAGCAGGGUUCCCAAACAGCAGGGGGAAAUUAGAAACUCCAGACACCCUCAGAGUUCCUUUUCAAGUCUUAUUUUCUUACCUCAUUUUAACCUCUGUGAGGCUUUGUGCUCGAGGCCUCUGAGCACAAACUACAGCGAGUGCAUUUGGGAGCACCCGCAUCCCAGCCCCUGAUAAGUAAUUGGGUCUGUGCCAGCACAUUACAAGGCGACUGUAUAGACAAUGCCUUUUAUUGCCUAAUCAAAAUACUCGGGGCUUUUACAUUUUGCAAGGCUGACUUGCCAAAGGCUUCCUUGAGCUGCACAUGCUGCUGCUUUGUCUUGCUUUUAUGCCUUAUUGAAUUCCAUUAAAAGACAAACAAAUCUCGCAGUCAUUAGGCACCUCGCUGACAACACCUGUCAGUCUGUCACUCCGAGUCACAGGCAGCUACCGUGGAGCUUCAUUUGGCAGAAUUAGGGGAAAAUAGAAAGAAACAUAUCUGGGGCACCUGUCCUCUGCGAAGGAGUGAUAGGAUUAUUGGUACCUAAAAGGAGCUCAUUGUGCUGCUCAAAGAAGGUGGAUAACAAGUACCAUUGCAAGCCAGUUGCAGUAAUCAGUGUUGUUCAUCAUGUUCGUGGAUUCUCAAACAUUUUCCCAAUUUUUAAUGGGGAGGAGGCAACCACAUUGCGAGUGUUCAGUUAUGGACACCCUGGAAACGUGCACAAAGACAGAUACACAACCACACAUUCCUCAGCAAUUAAUUGCCAUUGACCUAACUUGCGUUUGUGACCUUGCAAUGUAACAAGUGCUACUUUAAUCCACAGAGAUCCCGUUUGCUUUAGAGGAACUAUUAAAAGGAUUAGGGAAAUUUCCAUUGUGAGACUUUUUACUCUAAGAUGGAAGGUUUUACUAUUGUACCAUGUAUGUACACAGAGAGAAAAUACCUCUUCUUCAGAGGUAAAUGAUUAAAGGGGUUGAAAGCGAACACUACGGAUACUUUUUCCUCAAAAAUGCGCAAACAAAACCCCAGUCUCUGCUUUUUAACCAGUCUCUGAUUUUGUUUGGUCUUUCAACUGGCAUUGUUCCAACAAUUACUACUUAGUGACUUGCAUGUUCAAUGAAGCCUGUGUGGAAAAAGUUUGCACUUUUGUCUUCCACUUCUAUUUUAAACUUUUCUUUGAUUUCAUUCUCUCUUUUUUUUUUUUUGUUUUUUGUUUUUUGGGGGGGGGGUUUAUAGGGAUACAAAAUGGAAGAGAGCUCCAAUAAAUCUGCAUUGCCCUAGCUCCACCGAGAAGCUAUUGUACAGUUCUGCAGCUCCUGGACACCACUGAACAAGGGCAUGCCCAUGGUUUUUUUUGUGAAAUUUGGAGCAUUCCAGGUCACUCUGAUCUUACUGGUAGGAAAACAGGGCAAUAUCCAAAGCUUUGUGAAGUCUGUCAGUUAUGGAUAUGUAAAAUUAGGGAGAAACAGCAAAGAAGUUGCAUCUGAGUAGAGCAUAUGUUAUUUGACAUAUAUUUUUGUACACGUGGAUCUAAAAUUCAAACGAUGACUUUUAUUUCAACUAAUUAUGUGUUGUAGGUCUAUUACAAGUAGUCCUGACAUAAUUUUUUAGGACCAUAGCAUUCCUAUUAUCCUUUAUGUCUUCAAUUAGGAAUGAAGAAACUUGGUAAAGUGUAAAGCUGGAGAAAAAGAGUAAAAGUAAAACACUUGGUAAAGUAUAAAGCUGAAGAAAAAAGAAACUCAGUAAAGAGUAAAUAUCCUGCAGGCUGAAACGCUGUUGGAAUGACCCAUGUUCAUUGGAGCCAAAGGUGUGUUAGGAGAUGAUUUCCUUGAAUACAGCUGAUGUUCCCGUAGCAUGGUUUUUGUGUUUAUCCUGCCAUCCCUUUCCAGCCUUAUUUUGCAAUUGAAAACUGCUUUGUGCUGGUUUAGAUGCAUCACACUCCUGCACCAGUUGAAUGCUCAGGGACUGGUUUGCAUCCUGACUCCUAAGGAUGCAUGAGGACCAGGACUUGCUGGGUCUGGCUGAGCUGUCACAUCAUGAGUUAGCAAAGAUAAUAAAAACUAUCCAGCCCUAGGACACAUACAGUAGCUCUGGAACAGAAAUAACAACCAUUUCUGUACUCAGUACAACUUCUGCAGCCAACACUGAAAACUUUAUUAUUUAAUCUCAUCCAUUCCCAUGUUGGUGCACGAACCACUUGUACACCGUUCCACUCAUUGCAUCCAGACAAUGCGAUCUGUUUUGCUUUUCCAGACAAUUUCAUAUUAUUGUUGUUUUUCUCCUAUUCAGUCCAAGUUUCCUUUAUUUUUUCAAUUUAUUUUUAAGCUUCCCAUUGAAAAUGAUAGCUGUACCACUGCUGGGGCCAGUGCUAUCGGGAAUCCCUUUCUGCUGGGUUUUAUCCAUGGGGCUCUCAUGCUUCUUCUGUGCCCCAUGUGAGCCCAGGGAGGGUAACCACAUCUGUGCGUUAACACCUGGCUGGUAAACAUGAGCUGAGUUCCUGAGAGAACAGUAAAGUUUCUGAAAGAACAGUAAAAGCUCUUAUCUUUUAAUCAGCAGCUCCUGGGCUAAUUCCCAUUGCCCAUUUCUGAGCUCCACCAUCCUCACGAGGCAUUGCACUCUAUCCCAGGGCAAGGAGCCAAUUUGACAGGGUUUUUGUUGCUGACCUGCACUGAAGGUUGCAGCUCUAAGUGCUGUUUCCCUACAAGAAAGGUGCCUUUGUGUCUGAAAGAAAACAUCAUCACUACAUGGCUUUUUCAGGGGAGUUUUGCCUGUUGAUCUUGUAUUAUCAGGAGCAGAAUACCCGAUCUGCGGAGGGAAUAAAGGCUUUCUGUGGUCACAAAAGAUGAGCUGUCUAUGUGGGCUUGGGAAACCUAUGGAGAGGUGCGCCUGACACAAAAUACAGUCAAAUCAGAGGGAGACUUCCCAUUUAUUUCAGUGGGUCUUGGCCCAAACCCUUGUGUUAUGCUGAGACACACCCUGUGUUUGGUAAAAAAGCACCAUGCUGCCCAUAACAGCAGGCUGCUGGGUAUGAAAAGGCAAAGCUGGAGAAGCAAAACCACAAGCGGCUGCACAAGGGUCAGGACCACAGGUGACUCAGCCCAAAGGACAAACUUUGUAUCUGAGAGACGGUCCUACCCCAAAAUAUCUAACUGCCAGUGGUCUUCAGCAGACUUUAUGGAUUUAUGACUGUAUAUAAUGACCAGCUUUUUCAUAUAUAUAUAUAUGUAUAUAUAUAUAUAUAUAGUUUUCAUUAGUGUUACACCAAUCUGAAUCUUUAAAAAACUUACUAAUAGUUUUUAUAGUGAAAGGGGACCAUGAAGAUAAUAUUUUCUAAUUGGUUAUCAUGCAUAACACAGGCCUAAGAAUAUCAGGAGUUGGCCUUUAUCCUGACAUCAGUCCCAGUUCUCUUCCUGUCUUUAUGGAAAAGGAUUUUAUACAAAACUGUAUGUAUUGGGAGAAGGAAAAGCUUGCCCCUAGUUUGUCAGGUGUGCCACUGUAAAUGACCAGUGCAGUCACAUCUGUGAUAAACUGGAGGGUUCUGGUUGCAAGUGGGGUUUACAGCGGCCAUGUGAGGUAAGCACAAAGAAUUUAUUGUGUAAGCAGUUCACGCGUAUAAAAUGUGCAGCUGUCUUUAUUAUUAAAUGACUUUGCUGGCGUUUCAAUAUGCAAUUAAUUCAGCAUUAAAAGGCCCAAAACACUCCACAGGCAUUUCCAUGGCGUGCAGAAGCUGGUAUUUUGCUGAAAAUGGAAGGGGAAAAUCGGCCCUGAAAUGCAUCAUGUGAACACGAGGUGGCACCUGGAUCUCAUAGAUGGAGCAGGAGCCAGCCUAGGCAGACUUCCUACACACCAGGAGCACUUUAUUUAUAUAUUUUUAUUGAAAAGCUGGAGAAACAAUAUGAAGAUAAGGGGCUGAAAAAAAUGCUGUUGGCAUAAUGUAUGGGCUGUAUUUUCUUUUUAAUGCAUGCUUUUUCUGCUUGGGAUAGGAGUGCUGUUUGGCUGAAGGAGUGAAUGCUAGUUAACACUGUACUGUUUCCCAUUGCAAAGGAGCAUGUGGUGACCUUUUGGACCUUCGGAUAUAUCUGCUGCAAUCGGUGGCACCUCUUUUGUAGCUGGGAAGACAUUCUGGCUAUAAUUAAGUUGGGUGCUCUCCUUUGUGCUUUCCCCUGUAGUCAUCAGUCAGGCUGCUGCGUGUAUCUUUGGUGCAUUUUUUCCUUUCUGGUUUGAUCCUAAGGGAGUCGUCUUUCUUCAUUUAUGUUCAGCACAAUAUUCUGGAGCAAUGGAAACCUUCGAUGAACUUUUCGCUUGAGUUCCUGCUGGGGCGACACCAUGGACCAAGCCAUCCAAUUUCCACCACCUCCCUUCUCUCCUGCAGGCUCCUCCAAAGGGGCUGAAGGCUCAGAGGGGCUUCCCGAGAUACCCACUCCCCCAACCCACAGGCAGAGACCUGUGGAGCUCGCUUUGGUCCUAAGGUUGGUUUUCCUCUUAAAACCUGAAGACUCGGAGCUGCAUUUUCUUUCCCUUGAAGACCCCAUCAUGGUGAGUAGGCCAACCUCUCAGUGACAGGCAAAAAUACAUCCAGUACACGCUCACUUUACAUGGACAAGAAGUAACCCUUCUCCAUGAAACCAUCAACAUUGUGGGACAAUUGGCUUGUCCAAAUUAGUAGUCAGUGAAAUCAGCCCUUGUGUUUUUUCCCAUAGAUGCCAGUGCGAAGGAGUGGGUCUCCCAUUUCCCUCCUGUCCAAGCUGAAGGACUCAAUAUAAAACUACAGGAUUUGUGUGAGCUGGAGACAAAACAUGCUCAGAAGAGGAAAUUCAGCUAGAGAACAUUUUUGAAGUAGUACAUUCAAAAUCUCUAUUUCAGAAAAACCUGGUAAAACUUGUCUUGUACUAUGGGAUGUUUAGUAUGUUAACAUGGAAAAGGCCACAAUAGCUUGUAAAAUCUAGGACAGAAACCUGAAACGUUCACCUCCACCCACUUUAAAUAUAUCAGGCUUUGAGUAACAAAAUAAUAAACUCAGUCUCAGAGAUUUUACUCCAGAAAGGGAGAAGGAACGCUAAUGAUUUCAUAUUAGCACUGAGUUCUGAUAGGACAUGCUCAUCCAUUACAAUAAAAGCACAUAAAGUUAUGAUAAAUGUAAGCUUAAAAAUGGAAAUGCCAGCAUCAAAAAUUGCUGUGAAACUGCUGCUCCCUGAAUGUGAUCUGAUUGUGCUGUAAACUUGAUUGUGCUGUAACUUUCAAACAAUUAUGAAAACAUUUAUGUAUUUUUAUUAGCACUUGUAAAUUAUGCAGGGCUUUUUACUGUAGAGUCAUAAGAAAGAGGAAAGCCUAAAUGUACGGCAGAGAUCUUCCAAGUUCCUAACAUAUGAAAAAGUCAUGAUGAUCCUUCACUUAAUUAAUGUCAUGUUUAAUAGCACAUUAUUUUCUGCAAAGAUUUAGCUUGGCCUCAUAGAGGGAGAUGGAAAUCGCUGAUGGCUGGAUAACCUUUUCUGGUCUCUUGGGAAUAAAAUCACAGCCCUGGAUAUAACUAUUACUAAUGCUGAGGUGUCUUCCCAGCACACUGCUGCCACGUCCUGUGGACAAGGGAAAGCCCUCAGGUGGAACAACGUGGCUGCAGCUCCGUGCUGGUGGCACACUCAGCUUCUCUUCUUCUCCUGUUCUUCAUCUUCUUCUUCUUUCUCUUCUUUGGGAAAUUUGGUGACAUGGCUUUCAUAAGGGCAGGAUUUGACCUUAAGCCCUGAAGUAGCUUCAUUUUUGAAUGGUAUUUUUUUAUUAAUUCAAAUGGCAGUUUUGUCUGCGUUUUGCCCUUAGACCCAAGCUUAGGGGUGUCAUGAAAACUUCAAAUAACUUAAAUCUGGUGGAAACAGUCUUUGUUACAUCUGAAAAUGCUUGGCUGGCUUCUGCAGGGAGCAGGAUCUCCUCCAAGUCAGCACACCCAAACCUGCACCUGCAAUUGCUGUAAAGGAGGAAAUCCUCAGUGGAAGGAUAAGCUACUUUGGAAAUAACAAAACCCAAGUCCAAGCAAAGACUCAAAGGAAAAGGUGAAGAUAUUUUAACCACUGACACAGAUUUCUCCUUUUUUCAUGCAGAACAGCAGCUGAAAACAUUUAAAGAAAAUGAUUCUUAGCAGUGAGUGGCUUCAGGCUUCUGCUGGGCAGUGCUGGAGGAAGUUUGAAAAAGAAGUAAAACCAUCACACUUCAGGAAUGAAGUACUGAAAAUGUUAGCAGCUUGGACUCUCCAGCAGGCUGGGAGCUGCUGGCAAGAGGAACAAGCUUUCCGCAUGGGUAGUGAGCGUGGCAGAGCACUACGGGGUUGAUCAGCAUCUCCUCAACUUCGCCUGGUGACGCUUUCAAGUCUUGUUUGCAGCAUCAACGUCGCCAUUGCAAAAUGUAAGCUGUGAGCAGCUACAAAUGAGUUAUGAACGUUAUUAAUCAGAAUCGCCCCCAAAUCACCACCACCUGAAGAAAGGAAGAAUAAUUCAUUGCAGUAUUUCUGUUUGACAUCACCCACGGUAAAGUGUGAACAGCAACACGCUACUUAUUGGAAACUAAGCAAUGAGAUUUACAGCUAAAUGACUUUCGGGGAGAACAACAGAUUUAUAUGGUAAUACAGACCUUACUGCAGAUGCAGCAUCCUCACAAAUUUGUACACGUGGGCUGCUCUGCUUGCUAAAAGCUCAGUCUGCAGCCUAAGCAGAGGUAACCGGCGGCAGAAGAGGAAAAUAUCAUCCCCCUCCAGUCGAGUUCUGCUCCUCAGGCAGCCAGCGCUGUCACAGCACAUCCAAAGCUGUGAGCAUGCCCCUGUCAGCGGGGCUGUCAGUCAGUCGCUGCCCCAGCCCUGCCUGAGUGCUGUGCAAUAUUGUGCCCUUACUGAAAUGCAGCGAUAGUAAUACUGAAGGUGUUUUUUUUUUUUUUUUCUUCUUUUUUUUUGUUGCUAGCAGACAACUCAAUUAUGAAUGAAAAGGAACUUUUUUAUUAAGCAAAAUUGAGGGGGUUACGAGGCAGUUUUUUAACAUUUUAACCCUGGAUUUGCUUUUUGCUCUUCUCUGGUGAAGUCUUCAGCUGGGCUUCAACCUGAUCUCCCUGUGCCAGGGAGAGCCACAGCACACACGUGGCUUUGAAAGCCUUUGAGAAAAGACAGGGAAAGCUUUAAUAAUAUCCCAACACGUGCCAGCCCAAGCAGCCAGCUGCUGCUUUUUUAUUUUUGUAGCUUUCCAAUCUGAACAUGGAGGAGAUGAUUAACAGCAGUGCUCAACCCGCAUUUUCUAGACAAACACCCCUUCAAAAAAAGCCCAAAGUCCAUUUGGAGUAACUUUGAUGGUCCCUGAAAAACCUACUGCAAUUUGCUGAGGUCCUUUCAAAGCUCAAGGUGAUGUUUAAGGUGAUGCAGCUUGUGCCCCUGACUUCUCCUGUCUUCUGGAACUCCAGAGGAUUUUAUCUGUACCAGAAUUAUCCUGGACAUUUUAGUACAAUGAUGUGCAUGUCAGGUAAAUGCUGUUGGCAUGAUUCUGAGGCAUGCAGUCAUGUUUAAGAUGAUAUUUCUGUCAUCAGCAGAAAGGUGCGCAAUAGAAAAAGACAGAAAUGGCCUUACCUGAACCUGCAGCUUCCUUCUCGAAUAACCUUUAAUUACAUAAAGCCACAUGAGCGAGGCUUGUUCAGGUGGAAUCACUGUUCUUUUCUCAAAAUUUCGGUAUAGAUUGGUACAACCCUAUGGAAGCCAGUAGAAUCACGCAGAAGCAGCUGGCAGCCAGCCCAGCAUCGUGUUUAAAGCAUCUGUUUUGAUAGCAGCCUGCCAUGAUCUAAAAAAAAAAAAUAAAAUAAAUUUAAAAAGAAUACUAUUGACUGCAAAAGCACUUCUCUUCAGGAAAAGAACACGAGAUUAUAUUAGAGGAAAUUUAAUUAAAUCACCAGAAAACCUACAAAAGUUCUAAUCCCAGAUCUAUCAGUUUGCUUCUAAAAUUGUCCAUAAAUCUCCUUGGUAGUCAAUUUUAUAAUUCCUAGAAGACAAAAUAAAAAAUGAAUGAGAAAUGAAAUAGGCUAAGGAUUGGGAUAUUUUUUCUUUAGGCGGAAAGCUGACCAUGAAUUUCAUUAAUCCUGCUUAAUAUCCUACCUUGGCAGUCAUUGUAAGAACUUAACAUUCAUCUACAGUGAUAAAGUAUACAGAACUAGGAAAAAGAAAAAAAAAAAAAAGGUUUCCAGACCUGCUUUUAUAAUGUAUAUGAAACAUACUGUGACCCACAUUAGCUUUAACAACAGCGAGAGAGAUGGAAUCAGGGGAUGCCGCCUCGUGGAUACAAUUAUGUGCAUUUCUGGUGUGUAGGGAAAAACUGGUAUUACUGUAAUUACCACAGCUAAAAUUUAGAGUGUUCUGCUGUUUUUAAGCUGGGAUGGACUCAGGGAAUUGAAAUAAAUGAUACAGCUUUGCAAA
This is a long non-coding RNA of Anas platyrhynchos (mallard), 22969 nucleotides long. RefSeq lists it as uncharacterized. The record is from RefSeq and is a predicted model, not a curated record. NCBI's taxonomy places the organism in Eukaryota, Metazoa, Chordata, Aves, Anseriformes, Anatidae.